This 363-nucleotide long non-coding RNA is filed under the name Ananas comosus (pineapple). RNAcentral describes it as "long non-coding RNA (ACOM_LNC041538)". Lineage: Eukaryota; Viridiplantae; Streptophyta; Magnoliopsida; Poales; Bromeliaceae. The record is from RNAcentral.
AGGUGGGUUGUGUUUACCGAAGCGACUAGGUUGCCUGUAUGUCUAAGAUAAAUGUUCAUCAUUGAUGCAUGUAGUGGUAGCUAUUGAUACAGCAUAAGUAUGCAUGAGAUGAAGGCUAAAUGAGCUACCAAACAAUGCAUGAUGACUUAGUGUAAAUAGUGCUAGAUGAAUGCAUUGAUUAAUGCUAAAGUAUACAUGAUAAGCAUGCAUGUGGAUAAUGCUAAGUAAUGGUAUGAUAAGCAUGAUAUAGAAAUAAUAAAUGCAAGCAUGUGGUUAAUGCUAAGAAUAUAGAUGAUGACAUGAUAGAAAUGCUAAGUCCAUGUAUGAUAAGCAUGUUUUAGGGAUGCUAAAAUAAGAAUGCUA